Molecule: unclassified non-coding RNA, 272 nt
Filed under: Hevea brasiliensis (rubber tree)
Lineage: Eukaryota; Viridiplantae; Streptophyta; Magnoliopsida; Malpighiales; Euphorbiaceae
Source: RNAcentral
AACGAAGAGGAGGGGUUUUGUUUGGUUCUAAUCAGUCAAUAGAAACUCCACAUCAAUCAAUUCAUAGAAAUAAAUCACAAAACAACUAUUCAAAAAAGAAUAAUAAGAAACCAUGUAGAGAGCAAACAGAAUGUUAUACUAUGUUCAUGGAAUCAUAAUUCUCUUGUCAAAUCCCAAAUUAGGUGUCCUCAACUCUUGAAUGAAAGACAAAGCUCGGAAACGUUGUAGUAAUGUCCUUGAGAUAUUGGAGGGUCAUGUUCUUCAAAAGUGAA